RNAcentral lists this ribosomal RNA (279 nucleotides) under uncultured bacterium. RNAcentral's name for it is "partial 16S ribosomal RNA". It matches the Rfam family "Bacterial small subunit ribosomal RNA", at positions 506 to 784 of the family's 1533-position model. The record is from RNAcentral.
UACCAGCCGCCGCGGUAAUACGUAGGGUGCAACCGUUGUUCGGAAUUAUUGGGCGUAAAGAGCGUGUAGGUGGUUAAGUAAGUUGGGUGUGAAAUCCCCCGGCCCAACCGGGGAAGUGCAUCCAAAACUACUUAACUUGAGGAUGGCAGAGGGAGGUGGAAUUCCUAGUGUAGAGGUGAAAUUCGUAGAUAUUAGGAGGAAUACCGGUGGCGAAGGCGGCCUCCUGGACCAUUCCUGACACUGAGACGCGAAAGCGUGGGGAGCAAACAGGAUUAGAUA